This 460-nucleotide ribosomal RNA is filed under the name uncultured bacterium. Its description in RNAcentral is "partial 16S ribosomal RNA". It matches the Rfam family "Bacterial small subunit ribosomal RNA", at positions 338 to 795 of the family's 1533-position model. The record is from RNAcentral.
CCUACGGGAGGCAGCAGUGAGGAAUAUUGGUCAAUGGACGAGAGUCUGAACCAGCCAAGUAGCGUGAAGGAUGACUGCCCUAUGGGUUGUAAACUUCUUUUAUAUGGGAAUAAAAUGUUCCACGUGUGGGAUUUUGUAUGUACCAUAUGAAUAAGGAUCGGCUAACUCCGUGCCAGCAGCCGCGGUAAUACGGAGGAUCCGAGCGUUAUCCGGAUUUAUUGGGUUUAAAGGGAGCGUAGGUGGAUUGUUAAGUCAGUUGUGAAAGUUUGCGGCUCAACCGUAACAUUGCAGUUGAAACUGGCAGUCUUGAGUACAGUAGAGGUGGGCGGAAUUCGUGGUGUAGCGGUGAAAUGCUUAGAUAUCACGAAGAACUCCGAUUGCGAAGGCAGUUCACUGGACUGCAACUGACACUGAGGCUCGAAAGUGUGGGUAUCAAACAGGAUUAGAUACCCGAGUAGUC